CCAAGGAAAAAGAAAGACGAAACGAACAAAACCGGUCAUAUCCUAAAUUCAUGGGAAUCGAUAUAUCGGAGCCGCUGAUUCUCGAAACGGAAAUAUUUGACGCCGGCGCUGAGUCGGAGCGAGUUCCCGAAUGGAAAGAUCAUAUAACGAUCAGAGGGCUCGUGGUGAGCGCCUUGUUAGGGACUCUAUUUUGCAUCAUCACACACAAGAUGAAUCUAACGGCCGGGAUGUUUCCCACGUUGAACGUCGGCGCUGAAUUGCUUGGAUACUUCUUCGUAAAAUCGUGGACCGGUUUCUUGUCUAAGUUUGGGUUCCGAGUUUCGCCUUUUACCAAACAAGAAAACACUGUAAUUCAGACUUGCGUCGUCGCUUGUUACGGCCUCGCUUUUAAUGGGGGAUUUGGAUCGUAUCUGAUUGCAAUGGAUGAAAGAACAUAUAAUCGUAUCGGUGUUGAUUACCCUGGAAACCGAGCGGAAGAUGUUAAGAACCCGGGGAUUGGAUGGAUGAUGGGUUUCCUCUUCGCUGUCAGCUUCCUUGGGCUGUUUAGUGUUGCUCCGCUUCGUAAGGGGUUUUGGAUCGUGUCUGAUUGCAAUGGAUGAAAGAACAUAUAAUCUUAUCGGUGUUGAUUACCAUGGAAACCGAGCGGAAGAUGUUAAGAACCCGGGGAUUGGAUGGAUGAUUGGUUUCCUCUUUGUUGUCAGCUUCCUUGGACUGUUUAGUGUUGCUCCGCUUCGUAAGGUAUAACUGUUCUGAGUUGUGACAGUUUAAUAACUGAUUGUGUGUCUUAUAGGAGGUUUUGGAUCGUAUCUGAUUGCAAUGGGAUGAAAGAACAUAUAAUCUUAUCAGUGUUGAUUACCCUGGAAACUGAGCGAAGAUGUUAAGAAACCGGGGAUUGGAUGGAUGCUCGGUUUCCUCUUUGUUGUCAGCUUCCUUGGGCUGUUUAGUGUUGCUGCGCUUCGUAAAGUAUAAAUGUUCUGAGGUGUGAGAGUUUAUUAUCUGAUUGUGUUUCUUAUAGGGGUUUUGGAUCGUGUCUGAUUGCAAUGGAUGAAAGAACAUAUAAUCUUAUCGGUGUUGAUUACCAUGGAAACCGAGCGGAAGAUGUUAAGAACCCGAGGAUUGGAUGGAUGAUUGGUUUCCUCUUUGUUGUCAGCUUCCUUGGACUGUUUAGUGUUGCUCCGCUUCGUAAGGUAUAACUGUUCUGAGGUGUGACAGUUUAAUAUCUGAUUGUGUUUCUUAUAGGAGGUUUUGGAUUGUAUCUGAUUGCAAUGGAUGAAAGAACAUAUAAACUUAUCAGUGUUGAUUACCCUGGAAACCGAGCGAAGAUGUUAAGAAACCGGGGAUUGGAUGGAUGCUCGGUUUCCUCUUUGUUGUCAGCUUCCUUGGGCUGUUUAGUGUUGCUCCGCUUCGUAAAAUAAUGGUCUUGGAUUAUAAACUCACAUAUCCCAGUGGAACGGCCUCAGCUAUGUUGAUAAAUAGUUUCCAUAACAACUCUGGUGCGGAGCUUGCAGGGUACUUAUUUGAUUCAUUUUGCUCAUUGCCUUUUCAUAGGUUACAUACAGCCCCAGUUAUGUAAAACUUAAUUACAAAAGCGAGUUGUCAAACUAGAUAAUGAAGAAUGCAAAGUCUUGAAUGAACAAUCAUGCAUUUACAACUUGAAUGAAACAGCUACUUUAAAUCGUAAGAUUUGCUUCGUAAAUAACUAGAGAGAAUAGUUUUUUACCUUUUUGAGUUUGCUGCAGGAAGCAAGUUGAGUGGCUUGGAAAAUAUCUGAGUAUAAAUUUAGUUUGGAGCUGCUUCAAGUGGUUUUUUAGUGGUAUUGGAGAUUCUUGUGGGUUUGAUAAGUUUCCCACUUUUGGUUUAACGAUGUUCAAAAACUCGUAAA
This is an RNA transcript of Hibiscus syriacus, 1882 nucleotides long. It is a transcript of the gene named probable metal-nicotianamine transporter YSL6, with no coding region annotated. Lineage: Eukaryota; Viridiplantae; Streptophyta; Magnoliopsida; Malvales; Malvaceae. The record is from RefSeq and is a predicted model, not a curated record. The transcript is spliced from 4 exons.